Molecule: long non-coding RNA, 1224 nt
Filed under: Calidris pygmaea (Spoon-billed sandpiper)
Lineage: Eukaryota; Metazoa; Chordata; Aves; Charadriiformes; Scolopacidae
Description: lncRNA (ENSCPGG00000017152.1)
Source: RNAcentral
AUUCAGUUUACAGAAAUACCAGGAAAUACAUUGAGAUUCUUAGACAGAACUGGCACAGCAGUAAUACCUUCCAAAUCUACAAGGCACCUAACAGAGUGGAUAUGCAAAUCGGUUAACUGCUACCCACUAGGCUGGAUGUUCCAUCUAUAAGUAGAAGAGCUGGACCUGAAAUGGAUUGGUCAAGUCCACGUUGGCUGAUAUUAUCCCCUUAUUGUCCUCUGGAUGAAUACAAAGAGGUGCAUCUGCUGAGCAGGAAGGGGGAGCAGGGGCUGCCAGGUCACCCCCUCAGAAGCUCACUGCUCUGCUGGAGUGCACUUUCCCCUCAUCCCUGCUCUCCCUGCCUCUUUCCAGUAUGUCAGCAUCAUCCUCCGCCAUCCCAAAACCGUGCAUGUGACCACAGAUGCCCAGGGCUGUGGAGCUGGGGAGGGGUUCGUAAGAGGUGCAGCAGGUGGCAAACAAGGAAUCAUGAAAAAAAUCACAAAACAUUAAAAAAUAAAUCAGCCUUCAGGAGGGUUACAGAUAGUUGUACCAAAUCCAUCACUUCUGUCGUUAUCAUCAGAGCCCUGUCAGAGCCUGUCCUUAUUGUUUUCAGUGUGCUUUGGAUUAGAUGUGGAAUCAAUAUAAAGUGUUAAAAGAGCUGAUUAAAAACAGUGGCAAGUCUAGGAGUUUGGCCAGUCAAAAGCCAUCUUGGUGCUUGAAUGAUGGACCCAGCUCAGCAGUCAGCUGCAUAACUGUGGGGCUUUCUGCUUUCAGAGCAUGUGUCCGCGGGUGACAGUGACAAAGAGAACUACACCUAGAGGACACCAUUUGAUCUAGAGCUGCGACAGGGCUGUUCCCUGCCAGCGAGAGCUGACUCUGGACUGAUGCAGAUGUUUGUUCUGGAUUGAAAUACUAAAUUGGCAUCUACAAUACAGUAGGCCAAAAGAGAAUAGGCUUGCUUUUUUUUUUGUGGAAGUGCUAAUGCUAAAGUAAGCAGUUUUCCUUUUUGCUAAGUCUGCAAAAGCAAUGACCAUUAUGGUCAAAGUCAAAGGAGUACUGUCAAUUUAGCAGGAGCCCAGUUUCUAAAGAAUUUCAAGUCAUACUUGUAAAAUCUGGUAAGAGCAGAGUUGUUUAUGUUGCACAGUUAAUACUGAAAACAGUUUCCAUAAUAAGUUUGAUUUUCAGUUUCUCUCCUUCCCUGUCCCUUGUGAAUGUAAAUCUAAUAAAAUGUAAACUCUGUAAACA